AUGGUGGUACCCAUGUCUAUGGGGGGCAUGGGAUUCCGCGAUAUGAGAGCCUUCAACCAGGCUUUGCUAGGUAAGCAAGCUUGGCGAUUAUUGGACUGUCCAGAUAGCCUGUGUGCAAGACUUCCUAGAGCCAAAUAUUAUCCCCAUGGUAAUCUGUUGGAUAUUGUAUUCCCUGCGAGCUCGUCCGCAGUGUGGAAGGGGAUUGUACACAGUCUUGAAUUGGUGAAGAAAGGCAUUAUUUGGCGUGUGGGAGAUGGGACUUUAAUUAGAACUUGGAGAGAUGCUUGGAUUCCGAGGGGUCAUACUCUUUGGCCAAUAACAGCAAAACGUAACUGCAGACUAAAUUGGUGGCUGAUUUCUUGGAUGAACAUGGUGCUUGGAAUGAGCAAAGGUUGUGAGAACAUUUUUGGGACAUGGAUGUACGUGAUAUUCUUAAGAUCCGUACCUCGCCGAGGAAUGGCCAAGACUUCCUAG
Molecule: ribosomal RNA, 474 nt
Filed under: Triticum aestivum (bread wheat)
Lineage: Eukaryota; Viridiplantae; Streptophyta; Magnoliopsida; Poales; Poaceae
Description: partial small subunit ribosomal RNA
Source: RNAcentral